GACAGAGGUGCCGAGCGUUAGGCGGAAUCACUGGGCUUAAAGCGUGUGUAGGCGGGCGGGCAAGUACCUUGUGAAAUCCCACGGCUCAACCGUGGAACGGCUGGGUAUACUGCCUGUCUUGAGCCAACUAGGGGCGAGCGGAACAGACGGUGGAGCGGUGAAAUGCGCAGAUAUCAUUUGGAACGCCAAUGGUGAAAACAGGUCGCUGGGAGUGUGCUGACGCUGAGACACGAAAGCCAGGGGAGCAAACGGG
This 253-nucleotide ribosomal RNA is filed under the name uncultured bacterium. RNAcentral's name for it is "partial 16S ribosomal RNA". It matches the Rfam family "Bacterial small subunit ribosomal RNA", at positions 524 to 776 of the family's 1533-position model. The record is from RNAcentral.